This 253-nucleotide ribosomal RNA is filed under the name uncultured bacterium. RNAcentral describes it as "partial 16S ribosomal RNA". It matches the Rfam family "Bacterial small subunit ribosomal RNA", at positions 524 to 776 of the family's 1533-position model. The record is from RNAcentral.
UACGGAGGAUGCAAGCGUUAUCCGGAUUCAUUGGGUUUAAAGGGUGUGUAGGCGGAAUAUUAAGUCAGUGGUGAAAUCCUGCGGCUCAACCGUAGAACUGCCAUUGAUACUGAUGUUCUUGAAUAUAGUUGAGGUGGGCGGAAUGUAUAAUGUAGCGGUGAAAUGCUUAGAUAUUAUACAGAACACCGAUUGCGAAGGCAGCUCACUAAACUAUUAUUGACGCUGAGGCACGAAAGCGUGGGGAUCAAACAGG